UUCUUUCUUUCUUUCUUUCUUCGCUUUUAUUUUUCCUUCUCCUCCACAAAUCACUCGCAGUCUCUUGUCCAACGAUGCGGAGCCGUUUUCAGACUCAGAAUUAAAACAAAAGAAUAGCAAUCAAAGAA
RNAcentral lists this non-coding RNA (128 nucleotides) under Chromera velia. The record is from RNAcentral. Lineage: Eukaryota; Chromeraceae.